ACUAAUAUAAGGAGUACAACGCUACAGAUCCCACAGAAUGUACAUGUAAAGUUGCAACCAACAGGUUUUACUUCUCGUGAUCUUCAUUCGAGGUGUCAAUCCUGAUUACAAGAGGUUGAUGCAGAUCCGAGGGGGAGGCCGCCACCGGAAGCUGCGGAGCUCCUAGAUCCGCCUCCCCAUUCUCUGCCAGCGCCUUGUCCAGAGCAGAUUUUGCGACUCUUGUGACACAUAUAAUCAAGAGAACUGCAGGACGACGUGAGGAAAAUGUCAUCAUAAAUUUGCAAUCAGUAGUGUUGUGAAGUAUGGUGCACAGUUAAAGCAUGUCGAUUUUCAAGGCAUCAAGAUUAGUGUUGUGAAGUAUGGUGCACAGUUAAUCAAGAUUGAGUAAAACAAAAUGAAAAUCACAUGUAAUUCAGAAGACCAUUUAAACUGUAAGCAGGAGUAGAGUGAUAACAAAAGAAUAACGAAGGAACUGGCACUUACUGGACAUUACGAAGCCAGAAAUUAUGAGAACCUGUGAAGAAGAAAGUCGUUAAAAGUUGCAUAUAAUGGUGGCAUCUACUUUUAAAAACAAUCAAACAACUUGAAGGAAAUCUAUAUAAUUGGAGAUUGGGUAGAUAUGAUUCCACCUGUUCAAUUUUUUACUGCCAAUGAUAAGAAAAAAUAUGGCACUUUUGCCUUUCUUGAUCACAUUACAUGUUAGCAUUCUUCUUCCACAUUUCACCUUAAGCGAAACAUCACUCUGCUAUUUUGAUGCUACUAGGAAAUACAAAGCACAUUUGCCUAGCAUACACACACCAAUAUGAUACAACAUACCUGUGGGUUCCGAUGAAAUUUGCAUAGAAAACAACACUGGAACUUGAUAGAUCAUGCUCAUGCAUGCAACUUAAGUUUUUGCGGAAACCCAGACCAAAUAUCAAAUGAAGCCAAAUGCAAAGGAAGUGUAUACUACAAAAUUGCUAUUAAUAAAUUUCACUGGUCUAAAUUCUACACAUUAAACAUCACAUGGCUCAUUGCCAAAAGCAUGAAUGGUUAAAAAGGAACCUCGAAGAAACCCAAGCCACAACAGAGGAAACGUCAACAAUAAUCAUGCACUCUAUUUUCUAUGACAAACAUGAUGCCUAAUCCAAACAAUAAUAUAGGGAAAUGCUACAAUAUUCAAUUGCUCACCCAUCUGGUAGUCGAGAUCUCACUCCAUCCAUGGGUCACAUCUGAUAGAUCUUUUAGUGUUGUUCCCACAUAUACCAAGGCAAGAGUGAUUGGCUGGCAAAAGAAUAAAUAUGAUUAGCAACAAAGGUCACAAACACCUGAUAAAGCAUAAAGGGAGAUCAGCACUUUUAGUUAAAGGUAACAAAACCUGCAAGUUAGCAGAUGAUAGUGUCAUGUUACAUGUGAUGUGACCAAGUUUCAUGUGCAAAAAUAGUAAUAUGCCGAAUUGCUGAUUAAGGAACUGUGGAAUCGAACAUGAAUUUCUGAAAAUACUUAUAUCUACUCAUAUAACAGAGCACGAAGCAGCAAAUUACACAAAGCAUGAUGGUGAAUGCAUGGUCACAUGACAAGGUUGCUGAUGGUAACAAUGUCAGGUUUCAUUAGGUCAACUGGUCAACCAAUCUCUGCCAGAAUACUGGCCCCACAGUAUUACAAGACGAAAAACAUGAUUGAGAAUUAGACAACGAAGAGAAGAACUUGAAGCAUACCAUCAUUCCCAGCCAAGAAGCCAGCAUGUAUUCCAUAAUGCCAACAGGAGUGACAGACAACAGGUAGUUCAACAUGUUAAAAGGGAGUAGAGGUACAAGCCGUAGUAGCAACACGAUCUGUGAACAAAAAUAUGAAAAGUGUAACAUAAUUAGGUUUAUUGUGAUGUGCAGGAGAAUUCCGUAACAUAUAUUGAUACACGGCAAGUUAAAACUGUGAAACAGACAGAAAUUGCAAAUCUGUGGGGUAAGAACCAGCACCGAAAAACCGCAUAAAUUGAUACAGGUACGAGUUAAAACUAAUAAAAUAAAUCCUUGGACAUUCGUAAAUUGUCGGGUAAGAACCAGCACCGAAAAACCGCAAAAUCCCUGAAAUUACCCCAACAAAAUCAUAAAAACGAGACAACAUGCUUUCCUUGACAAUUAUAUGUCAGAAAUCCCCUUUGGACAUUCUUCAUAGCAAUAGUCUUAAUUUUUUAAAAUUUAACGAUCAUGUGGAACUGAAAUAUUUGCAGGACACUUGGAAGUUAUUGUGUUUUUCACAUCACACAGCUAUAACAUCCAAUCCACAAGAAAUUACCUUGAAGCCAGACCUUUGGAUGGCUAUAGCUACUGCUUGAAACUUGGGGUAAUCUUUGCAUUUGGAGAGAACAUACGGCCUUCCAAUCUGCAAGUCAUAUAGAACUAUAAGAUAUAAACAUUAAAUAAUGCAAACAUGUCAUUAAAUAUGAAACUAGGAGGCAGAAAUUAAAGCUUCCACAGACCAGGGGAGCAUAACUAUACGUAUUGAGCUAGUCAUGUGUAUUUUACCAUAUUAUCUUCUUAUGUAAUUACAGUUGAUAAAGAAGAAGAAAACGCAACAUAUAAUUUAGGUUCCACAAUCUAUGAGAAAACGUUGUUAAGGAAGAUGGAACUGCAGUUAACUGGUGGCUGGUUCUUGAGCAGUGCAUUUAUCAUCAGUGAUGAAAUGCAAUUUAUGUUUAAAUUAUUUUUUGAGAAUUAAAUUAUAAGAGCAUUAACAUUCCUCCUUACCGUUCUACCAAGCAAAAAUGCAGCAGUCGCGCCAAUUGUCGCUCCAAUGGAAUCAGCAACAAACCCGACUGGCAGGCCAAAUAAAUAACCACCUCCAAGCUAAACAAGCAGAUAAUGCACAUCAAUCAACCAAAUAAUACUAUGCCAAAUAAAGAGAGCACAACAAACGGAGGUUCCAUCAUAAGUGACUGCUAACAGAAAAAUCGAUCCAUGCUUACUGUGAGUAUCGAGGCUGGAACAGCUAAGACCGUCAAAGGAAUGUAAGCAAGGGCCCUGUAAUGAACAACAUGGCAAUUGUUAACAAUAUAUCUCAAAAUAUUCUUUCAAAUAUGAAACUGAAAUUUUGAUCUUGAGCAACAGUUGUGUAAGCCACCCUCCUUGUUUGUGCAUAAGUGUGGUGUGCGGUGUAGGCCUUACAUUUUUUCAGGGUUGUGCUGGAAUAUUGGUCCACUCAAAGGGCGCUAGGAAGGUAGCCACAAGUGAGGGGUGCCAAAAAUGGAAUGCCUAAGUGGUGAGCAUGGUAGGGAGGAGUAGAGGACAAUGUAUUCAGUUGAAUUCACUAUGCCAAUAUAAUUAUGUAACAGAGGAGAGAGAUUACUUACAAUACCAAAGGACCCCAUGCACCCAGGUUCUCUUUGAUCCAAACAAGAAAAUCCUUCAAAAUCUGUCAAUGUCAUAUCGAAACUCAUCAUGAAUAAAAUGAGAAGAACAAGUAUUUGAUGCAAAAACACGUAUGUUGUGUUAGGUAAAACAUUAAACCGUGGAAUCUAGUAGAAAGGUAAACAGAGAAUUGAAGAAGAAAAAAAAGGCUUAGAACUGUAGUCCUAGGGUAAUAAUCUGUGAAGAUCCAUGGACUAACGAUCUUGGAGAAUAUGGGAUUAUGGUCAACAUAAGAUGCAAUAAAAAAUGCUAACAGAGAAAUUUUAGGGACAAGUUAAAUUUAGUUUCAAUUAUUCUAGAUAAAGUGAAAUCUAAAGCCUGACACUGAUACUUGAUUGACAGAGAUCUCAAACAAUAGUCGGUUUUGUUCCAUAAACAUAGGCUAAAGUCAUCAAAUGUAGGUAUGAAAGCUAACAGGACCAGUAACCUGCAUAUUUUUCCUCCCAAAUUACCAAUCUAACUCCAUAUGGACCAUAUCAAUAUCAUCUACCAACAUGUCAUCAUAUCUAAUAAUACGAAGGCUAAGCAAACAGUUCUUUGAAAGGAUGAAUGUGAUAAUAUGACAAAGUUCUGCCGUAUUUAUUGGCCUACUAGUACUAGCAUUAGAAGAAUUAACUAAUUAAAACAUGGGGAAAGAGUGUCGGAAGAAAUGGUUUCACAUUGAAAAUUAAAAUCCUGCCUAUGCUUUGAAAUUACACCAUGAAUUCCACUACGGAAAAGGAAGCCAUUAAAGAUUGUUAUAGAAGUGUAUAAACAUGUGUGAAUUACAUUCUACUCCCUCCGUCCGGAAAUACUUGUCGGAGGAAUGGAUGUAUCUAGAUGCAUUUUAGUUCUAGAUACAUCCAUUUCUAUUCAUUUCUGCAACAAGUAAUGUAUCUAGAUGCAUUUUAGUUCUAGAUACAUCCAUUUCUAUUCAUUUCUGCAACAAGUAAUUCCGGGCGGAGGGAGUAUAUUGCUAUUAUUUGCAGAAGGAUGUGCUCGAAUAGAUUAUACAAAAUAGAUGCCAGUGUCCUCGAGAAAACACUAUAACAAAUAGAUGCCAGUGUCCUCGAGAAAGGCACCCUUACGGCCUUACCACUUACAUGUAAUUACCAAUUCCGUUGUACAACACAUACUAGAUGGGUGAACAGACAGCCUGUUUGGUAGUUCAAGGGAAAGAGAAUGGGAGUUCAGAAGGGGGAGUUUGUUGCUGGAUUGCACUUGGGAAGUGGACUAUUAGUCCCAAUCCCACGUUCGGUGCAUGUUAUGAAUUGUUUGUGGGAUUUGAUAGAAAAUUAAUCUCCUACAAAAUAAAUCAAAUACUAAGCAACAUGGAAGAAGGGAGCAACCCAAAAUGAUCGCUACAGACCCAUGACUUUUUGCCGACUCUUGUCCAUGAUCCAAAACGGAAUAGAAAAACAACCAAACAAAUUGAUCCGUCACAAGUGAAGGGAGAAAACCGAAUAUAAAUAGGGGAAUGUAUCUAGAUCGCUGUGAAGGGAAAAUCUAAAAGAAACAACUACUGCAGAAUUUAUUGGCAUAAUCCAAUAAUAUGGAUGCAGAAGAGAAGAAAUAUUCUAGCACAUUAGAUGAUAUGCGUUGCAUUGAAGUUCCCAGGAUUUUGAGAUUAUUAGAAGAAGAAAAAGAAGCAGCCACGUGAACUCUUCGCAUGUGACGUCUCCUCUCCAAAUUGGAAGGCCUGUAGGCUGGCAGAUUCACGUUAGAAAAGUGAUGUCGCUGGAGGCUUAUUUAGCAAGGAUUUUUCAAUGUAUCGGUGAAGAUUUUUUAUGGUUUUUUUACGCGAGACGUGCACAAUGAACACAACCGUUUUUUUCUUCACCAAUUCCCAUUCCCUGACUGAAUUGCCUGCCCUCCCCCACGGAAGAGAUCUAGGGGAGUUGCCCCACUGAAUUCCCCAACCCCUUCCUUCCUAAACUCCUCUGCCCCCCAACAAUACUAGGGAUUUUUAGUCUCGUAACCUCUCAAUUCCCAUUCCCUACUUGUACUUCCCCCCAACCAAACAGGCUGAGACGGUACCGGUUACAGGUUUCUUAGAGCGUUGAUAGAACAUAUGUUACAUCGUCAAAUACUUUGCGAAAUAGUAAUUACGGAGACGAGAGAAUUUCUGCCUACAAAUGGUUUCACUGAUUAGGUGACACUAUCAUCAUACUACUACAUUGGAAUGCAAUGAAGGAGUCUACUCUAUACACGCCUACAUCUCUAACGAUCUGAACUUUUGAAUGCGUGCCAGCAGCCGCUGACUCCAUUUGCUAGGAAACCUUGAGCCAUAUAUACCAGAAUGCCAUACCAAAAAGUAUACUUCCCCAAAAACUAAGGGCAAUCCAUGGGCGGAAUACAUCCAAUCAGGAGCCGGGACAGAGCUACAUUUGGGCAACCCAAAGGAGUUUAUUCUCGCGCCACACUGCAGCACGCAUGUUGGAAGCGGUAUAGGUCAGAAAGUAGACGCCCUAACGUCAUCCCGUCUACAUCGUCGGUACUGCGGAGCUCGAAUCAGGUCGAUGGUGGGGAGGAUGAGGCGCGCACCUUCUCGACGGGGAGCGUGAAGAGCGCGACGCCGGC
This 5945-nucleotide long non-coding RNA is filed under the name Hordeum vulgare. RNAcentral describes it as "long non-coding RNA (HVUL_LNC003041)". The record is from RNAcentral. Lineage: Eukaryota; Viridiplantae; Streptophyta; Magnoliopsida; Poales; Poaceae.